Molecule: ribosomal RNA, 491 nt
Filed under: uncultured bacterium
Lineage: Bacteria
Description: partial 16S ribosomal RNA
Rfam family: Bacterial small subunit ribosomal RNA
Source: RNAcentral
AGUGAACGCUGGCGGUAGGCCUAACACAUGCAAGUCGAACGGCGGCACAGUAAGAGCUUGCUCUUACGGGUGGCGAGUGGCGGACGGGUGAGGAAUACAUCGGAAUCUACUUUUUCGUGGGGGAUAACGUAGGGAAACUUACGCUAAUACCGCAUACGACCUACGGGUGAAAGCAGGGGAUCUUCGGACCUUGCGCGAUUGAGUGAGCCGAUGUCGGAUUAGCUAGUUGGCGGGGUAAAGGCCCACCAAGGCGACGAUCCGUAGCUGGUCUGAGAGGAUGAUCAGCCACACUGGAACUGAGACACGGUCCAGACUCCUACGGGAGGCAGCAGUGGGGAAUAUUGGACAAUGGGCGCAAGCCUGAUCCAGCCAUACCGCGUGGGUGAAGAAGGCCUUCGGGUUGUAAAGCCCUUUUGUUGGGAAAGAAAAGCAGCAGGUUAAUACCCCGCUGUUCUGACGGUACCCAAAGAAUAAGCACCGGCUAACUUCGU